CAAAUCCAAACAACAAUUACCCGUUAAAAUGUUCUCGGCCUUGGUUGUUGCAUAUUGCGCAUGAAUAUAUUACAUAUAUACAAACGCAAGCAGUGUAAAAAUGGGAGUGGUAUCAUUUCCAUCCAAGGUCCGGUUUAAAACAACAACGUUAUUUAUUAUGGCCAUACAUAACAGUGUGAAAACAAAAA
This 188-nucleotide unclassified non-coding RNA is filed under the name uncultured fungus. Its description in RNAcentral is "sequence contains ITS1". The record is from RNAcentral. Lineage: Eukaryota; Fungi.